This 468-nucleotide ribosomal RNA is filed under the name uncultured bacterium. Its description in RNAcentral is "partial 16S ribosomal RNA". It matches the Rfam family "Bacterial small subunit ribosomal RNA", at positions 28 to 507 of the family's 1533-position model. The record is from RNAcentral.
GACGAACGCUGGCGGCGUGCUUAACACAUGCAAGUCGAACGGAAAGGCCCUGCUUUUGUGGGGUGCUCGAUUGGCGAACGGGUGAGUAACACGUGAGUAACCUGCCCUUGACUUUGGGAUAACUUCAGGAAACUGGGGCUAAUACCGGAUAGGAGCUCCUGCUGCAUGGUGGGGGUUGGAAAGUUUCGGCGGUUGGGGAUGGACUCGCGGCUUAUCAGCUUGUUGGUGGGGUAGUGGCUUACCAAGGCUUUGACGGGUAGCCGGCCUGGGAGGGGUGACGGGCACAUGGGGACUGAGAUACGGCGCAGACUCCUACGGGACGCAGCAGUGGGGAGUAUUGCACAGUGGGCGGAAGCGUGAUGCAGCAACGCCGCGUGCGGGAUGACGGCCUUCGGGUUGUAAACCGCUUUGGCCUGUGACGAAGCGUGAGUGACGGUAAUGGGUAAAGAAGCACCGGCUAACUACGUG